This 520-nucleotide ribosomal RNA is filed under the name Pseudomonas aeruginosa. Its description in RNAcentral is "partial 16S ribosomal RNA". The record is from RNAcentral. Lineage: Bacteria; Pseudomonadati; Pseudomonadota; Gammaproteobacteria; Pseudomonadales; Pseudomonadaceae.
UACCGUACUCUAGCUCAGUAGUUUUGGAUGCAGUUCCCAGGUUGAGCCCGGGGAUUUCACAUCCAACUUGCUGAACCACCUACGCGCGCUUUACGCCCAGUAAUUCCGAUUAACGCUUGCACCCUUCGUAUUACCGCGGCUGCUGGCACGAAGUUAGCCGGUGCUUAUUCUGUUGGUAACGUCAAAACAGCAAGGUAUUAACUUACUGCCCUUCCUCCCAACUUAAAGUGCUUUACAAUCCGAAGACCUUCUUCACACACGCGGCAUGGCUGGAUCAGGCUUUCGCCCAUUGUCCAAUAUUCCCCACUGCUGCCUCCCGUAGGAGUCUGGACCGUGUCUCAGUUCCAGUGUGACUGAUCAUCCUCUCAGACCAGUUACGGAUCGUCGCCUUGGUAGGCCUUUACCCCACCAACUAGCUAAUCCGACCUAGGCUCAUCUGAUAGCGUGAGGUCCGAAGAUCCCCCACUUUCUCCCUCAGGACGUAUGCGGUAUUAGCGCCCGUUUCCGGACGUUAUCCCCC